This 253-nucleotide ribosomal RNA is filed under the name uncultured bacterium. RNAcentral's name for it is "partial 16S ribosomal RNA". It matches the Rfam family "Bacterial small subunit ribosomal RNA", at positions 524 to 776 of the family's 1533-position model. The record is from RNAcentral.
UACAGAGGUCUCAAGCGUUGUUCGGAUUCAUUGGGCGUAAAGGGUGCGUAGGUGGCGCUGUAAGUCGGGUGUGAAAUUUCGGAGCUUAACUCCGAAACUGCAUUUGAUACUGGCGUGCUUGAGGACUGGAGAGGAGACUGGAAUUCAUGGUGUAGCAGUGAAAUGCGUAGAGAUCAUGAGGAAGACCAGUGGCGAAGGCGGGUCUCUGGACAGUUCCUGACACUGAGGCACGAAGGCCAGGGGAGCAAACGGG